UUUAUGAUUAGGUGAUCUCCCUCUAUAAAUCUGAAUUUGUAUUUAUAUCUCUUUCACUCUGCAAUCUCUCAAUCUCUGCUUUCUCUUACUCUGUCAUCUUCUCUAGCUAGCAGUCUCACCAUCUGCAAUCCCUUCCCUUGAGCAAUAACUGAAUCAUCUCUUCUCCAUCUGGUGCAUUUGGUCCAUCCAGAUUCCAGACAAGUUUGUCAUAAACUAGAGCUCAGCUGCUCAUUCUACAUUCCACUCUACCAUUUUACUUAUGGGUCGUGGUAGACAGUCCCCACUGGCUCUGUAUAAGAAACCCGUACGGCAGAGACGUCGAGACACAUGGAAGUCCAGGUGAGUAAUUUUAAUAA
Molecule: long non-coding RNA, 356 nt
Organism: Cornus florida
Lineage: Eukaryota; Viridiplantae; Streptophyta; Magnoliopsida; Cornales; Cornaceae
Exons: 2
Source: RefSeq, a predicted model, not a curated record